RNAcentral lists this ribosomal RNA (654 nucleotides) under Halomonas sp. BAB-5592. RNAcentral's name for it is "bacterial SSU rRNA". It matches the Rfam family "Bacterial small subunit ribosomal RNA", at positions 836 to 1492 of the family's 1533-position model. The record is from RNAcentral. Lineage: Bacteria; Pseudomonadati; Pseudomonadota; Gammaproteobacteria; Oceanospirillales; Halomonadaceae.
GACCUUUGUGGCGCAGUUAACGCGAUAAGUCGACCGCCUGGGGAGUACGGCCGCAAGGUUAAAACUCAAAUGAAUUGACGGGGGCCCGCACAAGCGGUGGAGCAUGUGGUUUAAUUCGAUGCAACGCGAAGAACCUUACCUACCCUUGACAUCGUGCGAACUUUCCAGAGAUGGAUUGGUGCCUUCGGGAACGCACAGACAGGUGCUGCAUGGCUGUCGUCAGCUCGUGUUGUGAAAUGUUGGGUUAAGUCCCGUAACGAGCGCAACCCUUGUCCCUAUUUGCCAGCGAUUCGGUCGGGAACUCUAGGGAGACUGCCGGUGACAAACCGGAGGAAGGUGGGGACGACGUCAAGUCAUCAUGGCCCUUACGGGUAGGGCUACACACGUGCUACAAUGGUCGGUACAAAGGGUUGCAAUACCGCGAGGUGGAGCUAAUCCCAUAAAGCCGGUCUCAGUCCGGAUCGGAGUCUGCAACUCGACUCCGUGAAGUCGGAAUCGCUAGUAAUCGUGAAUCAGAAUGUCACGGUGAAUACGUUCCCGGGCCUUGUACACACCGCCCGUCACACCAUGGGAGUGGACUGCACCAGAAGUGGUUAGCCUAACUUCGGAGGGCGAUCACCACGGUGUGGUUCAUGACUGGGGUGAAGUCGUAAC